This 470-nucleotide ribosomal RNA is filed under the name uncultured bacterium. RNAcentral describes it as "partial 16S ribosomal RNA". It matches the Rfam family "Bacterial small subunit ribosomal RNA", at positions 28 to 507 of the family's 1533-position model. The record is from RNAcentral.
GACGAACGCUGGCGGCGUGCUUAACACAUGCAAGUCGAACGGUGAACGAGGGAGCUUGCUCCCUCCGGAUCAGUGGCGAACGGGUGAGUAACACGUGAGCAAUCUGCCCCGAACUCUGGGAUAAGCGUUGGAAACGACGUCUAAUACCGGAUACGACGCGGGAGGGCAUCCUCUCCGCGUGGAAAGAACUUCGGUUCGGGAUGAGCUCGCGGCCUAUCAGCUUGUUGGUGAGGUAACGGCUCACCAAGGCGACGACGGGUAGCCGGCCUGAGAGGGUGACCGGCCACACUGGGACUGAGACACGGCCCAGACUCCUACGGGAGGCAGCAGUGGGGAAUACUGCACAAUGGGCGCAAGCCUGAUGCAGCAACGCCGCGUGAGGGACGACGGCCUUCGGGGUGUAAACCUCUUUUAGCAGGGAAGAAGCGAAAGUGACGGUACCUGCAGAAAAAGCACCGGCUAACUACGUG